RNAcentral lists this unclassified non-coding RNA (3989 nucleotides) under Hevea brasiliensis (rubber tree). Lineage: Eukaryota; Viridiplantae; Streptophyta; Magnoliopsida; Malpighiales; Euphorbiaceae. The record is from RNAcentral.
UUUUUUUUUUUUUUUUUUAAUUCCCUUUCCUUUUGUUAUUUGAUUUGUAUAGUUAUUAAAGAGUGCCUCAAAUACCUAAAGGCAAAUGACCUUCCUGAGGUGGGUCUCUUAUUAUUAGGGUGUGUACUUUUAAGCAAGGUGCAAGGCGCACCUCUGUGAGAUUUAAGUGUGCAGUUGUGCUUUUUUCUAUUUUUCUUGAAAUGUUAUUUAAUCUUAAAUUCUGAACUAUUAAAUUGAUUUUGUAUUGGAGCAAAAUCAUUGGGGUUACAAAUAAUCACAAAACUAUGUUAUAAGAGAAAUGACAACAAUAGAACGAAGUCUGCUGAGGCAAUUUUCUCCUAAAAUUAAGAUUACCAUUUUACUUACUUCCUUAUAAAGAUCUCCGAAAUAAUCACAAGGUAUGUAAGAGGAGAUAUUGUAGUAAAAAACUAAGUCAACUAAUGCAAUUGUCUAUCUUUAGAAGUGAGAUUUCUGAUUACCAUUUACUUGUUUUCUCAUUAUCUCUAAUCUUUGACUAAGUUUCUCAUUUGUUCAGUUUGGAGCUAGCUGGUGGCAGUUGAAACCUUAACUACUUGACCAAAAGCAUUUGGUAAACAAAAAACAAAAGUCGGCAGUUGAAUCCUAAAAGCUGUCUUUCGAUUUUUAAAACAAAAAGUUGCUAAAGCUGUAUAAGCUAGGAUAAUGUUAUAAUUUAUGAGAUUAUAUAAAUGAAUUUUAUUUUUCAUUUUAAAAAUUGUUUCUGCAUCCUAUUUCAUAAUAGGAAUUUCAUAGUAGACUUCUUUUGUUAAAUGAAUUUCUCCCAGCAAACUUGUUUUGAACUUGGGAAUGAAGAAGUUUUCAGCCAUUGAAAUAAAUUUUUGAAUUUGGUAAGUGUUUCAUGUUUUAUUCUCACAGGAUACAGCUGCACUUAACAAGAAAAUUCAUCAACAAAAAUAACGUAAUAUUUGAAUCAAGGAGAAGUCCCCACAUCGGUGUGAAUACAUGUGAAGGAGACCAUGCGUGCACAGAUAAGGGAAGUUUAUGAUACUUUCCAAGUCGACAAUUAAGCCAAAAUUCUAGGUUUAUUAAUCGAUAGUGAAAUUUGUUGUAACAGGAAAUUUUCACCCUAUGCUUGUCAUUAACUUUCCUGAUUAAUUUUUUUAGAAGUCUAGUGUCUAUUUACCCAUGAAUUUGCAAUCAAACUGACAUCUUGGCUUCAGUUAUAUCUCUGGAUGCUAAGGAAUUAAGAAGUGUUAGAUUGCCAAUUGAACGUUUUCUAUGUCUUUGUGCCAAGGCUGAUGUUUAAGUAAUUUUGUUAACUUACAUACAUGUUAUGGAGAUACUGACUUGAUGUAGAAAAAGGAAAUGUCAUCUUCAGAUUGAACAAGAUGGGAAAAAAAAUCCUACUGUAGAUGACCCGAUUAGCUUGGGACUAGGGUUUAAGUCAGUUCACAUGUGUGCAUUUGGAGAGGUAAAAGGUAUAGUAGAGUGGGACUGGACCACCUACUCAGAGGGUUAAGUCAACUUACAGAUCUUGUGUCAACUUUGGCUCCAGAGAACCUCAAUGAUUAGACAUCCAUUAUAAACUUACAUAAUGAUUUAGGAAUGUAGUUCUAAAUCGUAUGACUGCUUUGAGGACUGCAGGUGGAGAUCCUGCUGAUGUAUUUUGCUGAGUUUGCUUAUAUCUUUUUGGCAAUUAUUUGCUUCAUUAUUUCUGUAUUCUUCUUUCUUUUGCUUUCAUCUGAUUGGAUGUAAAGGAUUCUCAAACCUCAUCUUCUGCAUUCUUUCUUGCUACCAUCUUCAAGCUGGUUGAUGAACUUUUAGUUGAUCAUUAAUUGAAGAUGCUAUCUAGAUUUGAUGCCACCCUUUUCUCUUUUUCCUUUACUCCACUUCCUAGAUUUUCAUGUCCUAAUUGUUAUGUAGGAGAGGUUGAGAGAAAGCACAUGAGUAUUUUCCCACAACUAGGAGAAAUUGAAGCGCAUGGGUUAAUGGUAUUUUUUGAAUUGAUCCUUUUGUUUUUUCCCUCCCUUUUUGUUCUGAUUCUAUCGUGGGGUUCCUUUACAGAGUUUCUGUUCACGCUACCUUUUCUUAACAGGUGAAGCGAAAAAGUUGCUUCUACCACCUCACAGGGUCUCUGCCUGUAAAGUAUGCUUUCCAGGGUCUCAAAGGAACAUGGUUUCUUCAUGUGGAAGUGCAACGUUCAAAUGAUAUGGAUAAGCCUGGUCUUUCCCACUGUCUAGCUGCAAAAAAUGACAAUCAUGAUUCUGAUGGUAGCAACAUCAAUGAUUCUUUUGUUACUAACACUGAUAAGAACAAUAUAAACAACGGUAGUAAAAAGAGGAUCAAACUCAGCAUUAAACCUCUUGCAGAAGAACUUUGGAAAACUGCCCCCCAUUUCAAUAAAAAGGGGAAGAAAAAGAAAAGCAUGAUUCACCUAGAUCACAGACUGGAUGACAUUGAGAAGGAAUGCCCUAUUAUAAUUAAAGAAACCCCAGAUUCUACUGAUAAUGAAAGUGUUCAAAUGUCAAGAAAUAAGGUUAAGCCUGUCAUUCGUUCUUCCAGCCCUAUGGUCCACACCCCCGUAGAAAGGUCACCAGAAGUACUAUCUGAAAGAGAUAUCCUUGACAUCCAAGGAAACUCUUCAGAGAUGAAUUUUGUGAGUAGAUGUUAUGAUCCUCAAAACUGUGAAGUUGCUUCCUUUGCCACUGAGAGUGGACUAGAGAAACAGCUGAAGGGCAGAAGGAAUGAUAACUCAAAUAUUCAAGCUUAUUCUGCUCCACAGUUUGCCACUAAAACACCUCCAAGGACGCCGCCUUCUCUAUUGCCCACUGAUCCUGGCCCUGGAAGCUCAAGGAAUAAGCUUGAAAUAACCGCUGCCGUUGGGAGACGUAUUCUGAUUGCUGCAAAAAAGCUGAGAGUCUCUGGGAACAAGCAAAGACCAGUUAUUUAUUUCCAUAGAUUCAGAGGUGCUUCCAGUGUGCCAUUUGUUUCUAGAAUUUCAGUGUUUGAGAUCAGUGACAGUGAUGAAUAACAAAUUCAGGAUACAACCUGGUAGGUAAUUGGUUUGUUCAUGCUUCAAAAUGCUAUGCUUGUGCAUAUGCGAUAUGACUUCCAGUGGUUCAUGCUUAGAAAUUACUGGAUAUGUGGAAGAAAUAGAGCAAUGACUGAUGUAUCUCUCAAGCUUGAUAAUGCAAUGAAUUACUCUGUUCAAAUUCUCUCUCGUAUUUCUUCGUUAUUCAAGCUCUCUUAAUUGUCUUUUCUGUCACUUUCUCAAGAAAGAUCGUGCAAUACAAAUUUGGUUGUAUCAUUUGGCAUCAGAGCUGUUACACAUCCUAGGGAUUUUAAGUUCUCUCCCUUACCUCUCUCGAUCCUCUCUAAUUCUAUCUUCUUCUCUCUAUCUUCCCUUUCCUUCUUGAUCUUCAUCUUCUGCCUUAUCUUCUGUUUCUCUGUCUCUCUUCUGUUGGUCUUUCCUUCACUUUCCCAUCACCAAACUUCUGCCAUCUCACCCAAAAAUUUCCUCAAAUCCUGUUAUGAAUACAGCUCCAAGUAUGGACCAGCCGAAGACUCGGAAAGGUCCAGGGGUGCUAAGGGUCUACACAAACAGCAGGUUCAGGGGAAAAAGGGAACCGGUGGAGUGUGAAAUUCGAGAACCUCCUAAAAGAGAACCUGAGCCGGAAGAGGCACACGAUCAGGCCAGGGAAGGAAUGCAUAGGUUGUAGAGCAGGCAUCAGCUGAAAAAUGGAAAGGGAAUUCUAUAAAAGGGGAAUUGUGAUUGUUUAAUGGCAUUCAUAAAUUAAUCUAGCAAUCUUGCUUGGGCCAAUGGACAUAUUCCCUGGUUAUUUUUUGUUUUUACUUCUGUUUAUUUGUAAUAUUACCGAUAGAGAGAGUAGAGCGAGUCAGAAGUGCCAGUCAUUACUGUAUACAGAUCUUCCAUUAUAUUUUGAAUACAAAAUUAGUCAAUUUCAUAGCCGUUACAAUUUUUUAGUUCUUUAAUUCUUUCCAUAUCUUGA